CCUACGGGUGGCAGCAGUAGGGAAUUUUUCACAAUGGGCGAAAGCCUGAUGGAGCAACGCCGCGUGCAGGAUGAAGGCCUUCGGGUUGUAAACUGCUUUUAUAAGCGAGAAAUAUGAUGGUAACUUAUGAAUAAGGAUCGGCUAACUACGUGCCAGCAGCCGCGGUCAUACGUAGGAUCCGAGCAUUAUCCGGAGUGACUGGGUGUAAAGAGUUGCGUAGGUGGCAUAAUAAGUAGCUAGUGAAAUCUGGUGGCUCAACCAUUCAGACUAUUAGCUAAACUGUUAAGCUCGAGACCGUUAGGGGUAACUGGAAUUUCUAGUGUAGGAGUGAAAUCCGUAGAGAUUAGAAGGAACACCAAUAGCGUAGGCAGGUUGCUGGGACGGUUCUGACACUAAGGCACGAAAGCGUAGGGAGCAAACGGGAUUAGAUACCCGAGUAGUC
This 442-nucleotide ribosomal RNA is filed under the name uncultured bacterium. Its description in RNAcentral is "partial 16S ribosomal RNA". It matches the Rfam family "Bacterial small subunit ribosomal RNA", at positions 338 to 795 of the family's 1533-position model. The record is from RNAcentral.